AUUGAACGCUGGCGGCAUGAUUUACACAUGCAAGUCGAACGGUAACAGGCCGCAAGGUGCUGACGAGUGGCGAACGGGUGAGUAAUGCAUCGGAACGUGCCCAGUCGUGGGGGAUAACUACUCGAAAGAGUAGCUAAUACCGCAUACGAUCUAUGGAUGAAAGCGGGGGACCGUAAGGCCUCGCGCGAUUGGAGCGGCCGAUGUCAGAUUAGGUAGUUGGUGGGGUAAAGGCUCACCAAGCCAACGAUCUGUAGCUGGUCUGAGAGGACGACCAUCCACACUGGGACUGAGACACGGCCCAGACUCCUACGGGAGGCAGCAGUGGGGAAUUUUGGACAAUGGGCGCAAGCCUGAUCCAGCAAUGCCGCGUGCAGGAAGAAGGCCUUCGGGUUGUAAACUGCUUUUGUACGGAACGAAACGGCUCUGGUUAAUACCCGGGGCUAAUGACGGUACCGUAAGAAUAAGCACCGGCUAACUACGUG
RNAcentral lists this ribosomal RNA (482 nucleotides) under uncultured bacterium. RNAcentral's name for it is "partial 16S ribosomal RNA". It matches the Rfam family "Bacterial small subunit ribosomal RNA", at positions 30 to 507 of the family's 1533-position model. The record is from RNAcentral.